CGAGUUUGAUCAUGGCUCAGAUUGAACGCUGGCGGCAUGCCUUACACAUGCAAGUCGAACGGCAGCACGGGAGCAAUCCUGGUGGCGAGUGGCGAACGGGUGAGUAAUAUAUCGGAACAUACCGUAGAGUGGGGGAUAACGUAGCGAAAGUUACGCUAAUACCGCAUACGAACUAAGGUUGAAAGUGGGGGGAUCGCAAGACCUCAUGCUCAUGGAGUGGCCGAUAUCUGAUUAGCUAGUUGGUGAGGUAAAGGCUCACCAAGGCGACGAUCAGUAGCUGGUUUGAGAGAACGACCAGCCACACUGGAACUGAGACACGGUCCAGACUCCUACGGGAGGCAGCAGUGGGGAAUAUUGGACAAUGGGCGAAAGCCUGAUCCAGCAAUGCCGCGUGAGUGAUGAAGGCCUUAGGGUUGUAAAGCUCUUUUACCCGAGAUGAUAAUGACAGUAUCGGGAGAAUAAGCUCCGGCUAACUCCGUG
This 480-nucleotide ribosomal RNA is filed under the name uncultured bacterium. RNAcentral describes it as "bacterial SSU rRNA". It matches the Rfam family "Bacterial small subunit ribosomal RNA", at positions 9 to 507 of the family's 1533-position model. The record is from RNAcentral.